RNAcentral lists this long non-coding RNA (1278 nucleotides) under Olea europaea subsp. europaea. Lineage: Eukaryota; Viridiplantae; Streptophyta; Magnoliopsida; Lamiales; Oleaceae. The record is from RNAcentral.
AAGAGAUAUGAAAUUUAUCCUUAACAGAAAAUCAUCCAAUACGGUAACUAACAUAUUAACUACAACACGACGCACGAUAAGGGUCCAUAACUCCAUAUGCAGAGACAGGGCCUUCGGAAUUAGAGAGAGAAGAAAAUGAUAAGCUUCAGCUCCUAUUCCCAGAAUGCGUGCAUGUUAAAUAUAAUCAUGAUGGUAUUUUACCAGAAGGAUUCCUUCUGGUUUCUGAUUCCAUUUUACUGCUUUACUUUCUUUACUACUUUUUAAAUUUGAAACCUUGCGAUGAAAUAGUUAUAUUGUGCACUAAAAAAUGAUGGUUCAUAAUUAUCCAUAUAUCUAUAACAAAAUUAUGCUGAAUUAUCAGAGUCUAAUCUACUUCAACAGUGACUAAUUGAGAACAAAUUAUACAAUAUAAACUUAGCCCAUGUUGACUCAUGUUUACAUAUGAGCUGUUAUAAAUACAUAAACGACUUUUUAUUGACACAUUUGAAUGACCUAUAAAUAAUAUCUACUUAUUCAUCACAUUUUUUAUUCACUUAUACUUAUAAUUUAAAUUAUUUAUAAACACUUUCAAUACGUGCUUAAUUCUUUUCAUAAUCUUUUUAGAGAUAAUCAUAUUGAUCUCAACAACUAGUGGAGACAAUUGAGUGUGAUGUGGUUUUACAUUUUUUUUUUUUUUACGGGGAAUUCGCAGCCGCUACACUUCGAAUGCGUAUUGGGUAAAUUCUCAAACUGAUGUAAUAGCUUGCAAACUCGCACUAGGCAAGCCCUGUACGACAUGUUCAGAAAGUAUUGGUAGGAAGAGUCGAACUCGUGAUCAAAGACCUCCGCGCUCAUCUACUCUACCAACUCGGCCACUUCAUGUGGGGAUGAUGUGGUUUUACUUUUCUCUUAUUAAUGGAGGCUCAGCAUAUCGGAACAAAGAUAUAUACCAUAUUCUAUGUCCUACGAAAUUGUUGCCUAACAUAGGUCCUGAACCACUACUUAAGAGAAGAAUAUUACAUAUUAGACUUUCCGAAAUUUAUGUGGAUCGGGACACCCACGUGGUUCUUGUAGAUGCCAAGUGGACAUGAAUCAUGGGAAAAUCUUUUUCCAAUGUUGGACGCUUCUAAAAUUCCAUUGAAGAUAGUAUUGCUUUUCAAUGCUACUUAUCUAUAUUAAUUUAUUUUAGCAUUUAGUUUCCAUGAACAAGUGGAUUGUGUUAAAAGUUGUAGACUCUGUUUCGGUAAGAAAAAUGCAUCGUAGAUUCAGAAGAGUAAGAGAAAUUUUCUUGCAGACAGA